CCUACGGGAGGCAGCAGUGGGGAAUAUUGCACAAUGGACGGAAGUCUGAUGCAGCAACGCCGCGUGCGGGAUGACGGCCUUCGGGUUGUAAACCGCUUUCAUCCAUGACGAAGCGAGAGUGACGGUAGUGGGAGAAGAAGCACCGGCUAACUACGUGCCAGCAGCCGCGGUGAUACGUAGGGUGCGAGCGUUGUCCGGAUUUAUUGGGCGUAAAGAGCUUGUAGGCGGUUUGUUGCGUCGGAAGUGAAAACUCAGGGCUUAACUCUGAGCCUGCUUUCGAUACGGGCAGACUUGAGGAAGGUAGGGGAGAAUGGAAUUCCUGGUGAAGCGGUGGAAUGCGUAGAUAUCAGGAGGAACACCGGUGGCGAAGGCGGUUCUCUGGACCUUUCCUGACGCUGAGAAGCGAAAGCGUGGGGAGCAAACAGGCUUAGAUACCCUGGUAGUCCACGCCGUAAACGGUGGGUACUAGGUGUGGGGGACAUUCCACGUUCUCCGUGCCGUAGCUAACGCAUUAAGUACCCCGCCUGGGGAGUACGGCCGCAAGGCUAAAACUCAAAUGAAUUGACGG
RNAcentral lists this ribosomal RNA (568 nucleotides) under uncultured bacterium. RNAcentral describes it as "bacterial SSU rRNA". It matches the Rfam family "Bacterial small subunit ribosomal RNA", at positions 338 to 916 of the family's 1533-position model. The record is from RNAcentral.